This 2104-nucleotide ribosomal RNA is filed under the name human gut metagenome. RNAcentral describes it as "bacterial LSU rRNA". It matches the Rfam family "Bacterial large subunit ribosomal RNA", at positions 236 to 2419 of the family's 2925-position model. The record is from RNAcentral.
UCCGCUAGUAGUGGCGAGCGAACGCGGAAGAGGCCAAACCGGAGGUAGCAAUAUUUCCGGGGUUAGGACUGCAAUAUGUAACUUUAAUCUUUAACUGAAUGCUUUGGGAAGAGCAGCAAUAUAGGGUGAUAGCCCCGUAAGUGAAAAGGAUUGAGUGCUAGCAGUAUCCAGAGUACCAGCGGACACGUGAAACCCGCUGGGAAGAUGGGGGGACCAUCCUCCAAGCCUAAAUACUACUCAGUGACCGAUAGUGGAGCAGUACCGUGAGGGAAAGGUGAAAAGUACCCCGGGAGGGGAGUGAAAAAGAACCUGAAACCUUGUGCCUACAAGCACCGAGAGUCCGUUAAUGGAUGAUCGGGUACUUUUUGUAGAACGGUCCGGCGAGUUAAUAUUUGCAGCGAGGUUAAGGAACUGGAGUUCCGGAGCCGCAGCGAGAGCGAGUCUGAAAAGGGCGUAUGAAGUUGCAGGUAUUAGACCCGAAACCGGGUGACCUAUCCAUGAGCAGGCUGAAGCGGUGGUAAGACACCGUGGAGGGCCGCACCCACGUCUGUUGAAAAAGCCGGGGAUGACUUGUGGAUAGCGGAGAAAUUCCAAUCGAACUCGGAGAUAGCUGGUUCUCCCCGAAAUAGCUUUAGGGCUAGCGUUAUUUUAGAUUACCGGAGGUAAAGCACUGAAUGGUCUAGGGGCCGCGAGGUUACCAAAGCCUAUCAAACUCUGAAUGCCGGAUAAUUGAUGAAUAGCAGUCAGACUGUGUGAGAUAAGUCUCAUAGUCAAAAGGGAAACAGCCCAGAUCUACAGCUAAGGUCCCAAAUGAACACUAAGUGGAAAAUGAUGUGAAACUGCGAAGACAACCAGGAUGUUGGCUUAGAAGCAGCCACUCAUUCAAAGAGUGCGUAAUAGCUCACUGGUCGAGUGGUUUUGCGCAGAAAAUGUAACGGGGCUAAGUGUUCAACCGAAGCUUAGGCAUUGCAGUAAUGCAUUGGGUAGGGGAGCGUCGUAUGCGGGGCGAAGUCAGAGCGGAAGCACUGGUGGACUGCAUACGAGUGAGAAUGCCGGAAUAAGUAGCGAGAAUUAUGUGAGAAUCAUAAUGGCCGAAAAUCUAAGGUUUCUUGGGGAAGGUUCGUCCGCCCAAGGUUAGUCGGGAGCUAAGCUCAGGCCGAAAGGCGUAGGCGAUGCACAUACGGUAGAAAUUCCGUAACCACCGAACAUUUAAGCUAGAGGGACGCUUUCAUUAAGUCUAUCCCGGGCGAUGGUUGCCCCGGGCGUAAGGGACCGAAAUUUAGUAGGGAAGUAGACGGCGUGAGAGACGAGAAAAGCUCUAGUGUAUACUAAGGUGCCCGUACCGCAAACCGACACAGGUAGAUGGGAUGAGUAUUCUAAGGCCAACGGGAGAAGGGUUGUUAAGGAACUCGGCAAAUUGGCCCCGUAACUUCGGGAUAAGGGGCGCUGCAGAGAUGCAGCCGCAGUGAAAAGGCCCAAGCGACUGUUUAGCAAAAACACAGCUCUCUGCUAAAUCGAAAGAUGACGUAUAGGGGGUGACGCCUGCCCGGUGCUGGAAGGUUAAGGGGAGUGCUUAGCGCAAGCGAAGGUGCGAACUUAAGCCCCAGUAAACGGCGGCCGUAACUAUAACGGUCCUAAGGUAGCGAAAUUCCUUGUCAGGUAAGUUCUGACCCGCACGAAUGGCGUAACGAUUUGGGCACUGUCUCAACAGCCCGCCCGGCGAAAUUGUAGUACCGGUGAAGAUGCCGGUUUCCCGCAACUAGACGGAAAGACCCCAUGGAGCUUCACUGUAGCUUGAUAUUGGAUCUCGGUAUUCCAUGUACAGGAUAGGUGGGAGACUUGGAAGUAAGCGCGCCAGCGUUUAUGGAGCCAACCUUGGGAUACCACUCUUGGGAUAUUGGGAUUCUAACCUGCGACCAUGAAUCUGGUCGGGGGACACUGUCAGGUGGGCAGUUUGACUGGGGCGGUCGCCUCCAAAAGAGUAACGGAGGCGCUCAAAGGUUCGUUCAGCACGGAUGGAAAUCGUGCACUGAGUGUAAACGCAUAAACGAGCCUAACUGCGAGAAUGACGGUUCGAGCAGUAACGAAAGUUGGAGUUAGUGAU